AUGGGAUAUACUAUCUGGAAUGCUGGACACCUGGAUAAUAGAUCCCACCUGUGUAACUCAGCUUGAAGCCCAUAUUUAAAGCAGGAGGCUCCCAAGUAAUUUUCACGAACCCGCUGGAGAUUGUAAAGAUUCACUUACAGGUCGCAGGAGAGAUUGCGACGGGGCCAGUGCCCUUACAGUGCUGCACGAUUUGGGAUUAUUUGGUCUCUAUAAAGUAAGUGUGAUCCAAGAUUGAUUUGACACUUUUCCCUGAAAGGACCUCAACUGGAAUCAUGUUAUUUUCUCAUUGAAGGGUGCCAAAGUCUGCUUUCUCCGUGACAUCCCAUUCUUCACCAUCUACGUUCCUGUUUAUGCGCACUCCAAAACCAUGUUGGCAGAUGAGCAUAGGCACAUUAGCGCACUUCAGCUUCUGACAGCUGGCGCUGUUGCAGCAAACUGGAAGCCGGCGCUGAGCCUUCUCCAAAGACCAGAAUCUCUGACCUUCCUCCAGCCAAUCCAGACCAUAUUGGUGGUUAGAGACUGGCAACCGCAACAUUUGCUGAAAUAGAGAACAAGUUUGGCCUUUACCUGCCUAAGUUUAGGUCUCCCGGUAUGGAAACAGCACAGCCCAAGCCUGUAUAACGCGUCAUCAAUGGGUGCAAUCUGAGCAAUAUUUCAAGAAGCAACACUAAGGUAUAUGUCUGGUCAAUGCAUGUGGGUUUAAGGGAACCGCUUGUCCAGGUCACACCUUGUUUCAGUAUAGUCAUUUGUUGAUGCACAAAAAAUCUUGUUUGCACAAAAGAGAUUGAAGCUUCAUUUCAGCAGCCUUAUUUCAGCAAAAGGAAUGAGGAUAAUAAUAUCACGUGGCUCUCAGAGCCCUCUGAUUGGCUAGUUUGGCCGAGGCACAGUAUCUAUACACCCCAUGUACAAUGUGUUCUAUUUUCCUUCAGAGGAAGGCCUUGUUUCUCAUAAAUGUUACUUUACUCAGCUUUGUUCUCCAUUACUGUACAUAUUGUACAUCUGUACAGAGACAUCAUGGCACAUACUCUGUUACUCUGUCUAUAAGGAGUGGCAGCAAAUGUACAGGAAACCUUGAAAGUGUUUUAUUACAAACAAGGGGGCAAUAUAUUGCAUUCAAUUCUAUUUCAGUUCACAUAUUGUUUUCUCAUAUUGACAUAUUUUAUGGAAAUACGCCGUCAAAGUCUGAUUUGUCAUCAGAGCUUGUGCAGAGUCUUGUGCAUUUAUUUUCCAUACUGAUAGAAGUCCUGCAGCCCACUUAAAUGGAACAUAAAUCCUCCACCAACCCCUUUCCUUUGCAUUCUCUUAGUGCUCCAAAGUAAACAGCCUAGUCUUAAAGUGGACCUGCCACCCAGACAUAAAAAUCUUCCUUUUUAAAUUAAACAUGAAAUCCAAAUUCUUUUUUUUAUUAAAGGAUUCAUAGCUGUUGUAAAUGAAAUUAUAAAUCUCAACUGUCAAUCAAAUAUUGCCUGCCCCUCCUCUAUGCCUCUAUAUCAGCUGUCAAUCAAAUUUUGCCUGCCCCUCCAAAAUGCCUUAGGCAAGAUUUUGAGAUGAUGCAAGGCUUGCUUUCAUAACUGUGUCCAUCUUGAUUGGAGCUUUGUUUUGAAUCUCUAAUAAAGUGCGGUGUACAUAAGAAUUUCCCUUACUGAAAACCAGGGGCGUAACUACAGAAGAAACAGACCCUGCUGCUGUACAGGGGACCAGGAGGU
This is a long non-coding RNA of Xenopus laevis (African clawed frog), 1706 nucleotides long. RefSeq lists it as uncharacterized. The record is from RefSeq and is a predicted model, not a curated record. The transcript has 4 exons. Lineage: Eukaryota; Metazoa; Chordata; Amphibia; Anura; Pipidae.